AGCGUAGACGGCAAGGCAAGUCUGAAGUGAAAGCCCGGUGCUUAACGCCGGGACUGCUUUGGAAACUGUUUAGCUGGAGUGCCGGAGAGGUAAGCGGAAUUCCUAGUGUAGCGGUGAAAUGCGUAGAUAUUAGGAAGAACACCAGUGGCGAAGGCGGCUUACUGGACGGUAACUGACGUUGAGGCUCGAAAGCGUGGGGAGCAAACAA
This 208-nucleotide ribosomal RNA is filed under the name uncultured bacterium. RNAcentral's name for it is "partial 16S ribosomal RNA". It matches the Rfam family "Bacterial small subunit ribosomal RNA", at positions 568 to 775 of the family's 1533-position model. The record is from RNAcentral.